Molecule: ribosomal RNA, 352 nt
Filed under: uncultured Racocetra
Lineage: Eukaryota; Fungi; Glomeromycota; Glomeromycetes; Diversisporales; Gigasporaceae
Description: SSU rRNA
Rfam family: Eukaryotic small subunit ribosomal RNA
Source: RNAcentral
AGCAGCCGCGGUAAUUCCAGCUCCAAUAGCGUAUAUUAAAGUUGUUGCAGUUAAAAAGCUCGUAGUUGAAUUUCGGGGUUCUACCGUUGGUCGGGCUUUGUCUGUACUGGCGUGUAGAAUUUCUACCUUCUGGGGAACCGUCAUGUUAUUAAUUUAACGUGGUGGGAAACCAGGACCUUUACCUUGAAAAAAUUAGAGUGUUCAAAGCAGGCUUAUGUCUGAAUACAUUAGCAUGGAAUAAUAAAAUAGGACGGUGGUCCUGUUUUGUUGGUUUCUGAAUCACCGUAAUGAUUAAUAGGGAUAGUUGGGGGCAUUAGUAUUCAAUUGUCAGAGGUGAAAUUCUUGGAUUUAU